Amblyraja radiata (thorny skate) is the source of this 146-nucleotide long non-coding RNA. RefSeq lists it as uncharacterized. The transcript has 3 exons. NCBI's taxonomy places the organism in Eukaryota, Metazoa, Chordata, Chondrichthyes, Rajiformes, Rajidae. The record is from RefSeq and is a predicted model, not a curated record.
UACUCAAUGCCCUAACCGAUGAAAUGCUGUUAAGGGACUUGUCAUUAACUGUAUACAUUCCCCUUGCAUAUGACCUCCCAAAGGGCAGCACCUCACACUUGCUUGGAUUAAACUACAUCUGCCAUUUCUCCCAGUUUAGAAGAAUG